RNAcentral lists this ribosomal RNA (263 nucleotides) under uncultured bacterium. RNAcentral describes it as "partial 16S ribosomal RNA". It matches the Rfam family "Bacterial small subunit ribosomal RNA", at positions 109 to 353 of the family's 1533-position model. The record is from RNAcentral.
AGUAACACGUAAACAACCUGCCUUCAGGAUGGGGACAACAGACGGAAACGACUGCUAAUACCGAAUAAGUUCCAAGAGCCGCAUGGCCCAUGGAAGAAAAGGUGGCCUCUACUUGUAAGCUAUCGCCUGAAGAGGGGUUUGCGUCUGAUUAGCUGGUUGGAGGGGUAACGGCCCACCAAGGCGACGAUCAGUAGCCGGUCUGAGAGGAUGAACGGCCACACUGGAACUGAGACACGGCCCAAACUCCUACGGGAGGCAGCAUG